This is a long non-coding RNA of Helianthus annuus (common sunflower), 609 nucleotides long. RefSeq lists it as uncharacterized. The transcript is spliced from 3 exons. The record is from RefSeq and is a predicted model, not a curated record. Lineage: Eukaryota; Viridiplantae; Streptophyta; Magnoliopsida; Asterales; Asteraceae.
GGAACCAGUUUGGCUGCAAAAUUAUUAAGAGAAAGUGGUGUAACGCUUUUCAAAGUAAGAGAAGAAACUGUAAAUUUACAUGGAAAAUCAGACAUGUAUAUUUUCAGCCCUGAACAUCCUCCAUUGACCAAAGCAGCUCAGAAGGCCAUUGAAUGGGCAAUCAAUGAGAAACUAAAGUCAGGGGAAACAGGAGAAGUGACAACAUUGCAUUUGCUUCUGGGAAUAUGGGCGUAGAAGGAAUCAGCUGGUCAUAAAAUAAUGGCUAAACUUGGUUUCGAUGAUGAUAAAGCUAAAGAGCUUGCUAAAACCAUGGACAAAGAAAUUAUUUUGAGCUCAAGAAGGGAGUUUAAAGAACCGUAUACAGGUUUUCUGCUUCAUCCCUCUGUUUGUUGGUUGUUUAGAAUGAUUCGUUUGCAACAGAACAUGAAGCAAAGUGAAAUUUGUAAAAGCUAUAAAGAAAAUUCAAAAGGAUGACCAUUUUAUUAGUUGGAAAUUGGAAUAAAACUUUCAUUUUUUAUUAUUUUCUGAUUGAAGUUUGUAACAAACUCACACCUGAGGCCUGACACUAGCCAUUUGUGAUGAUGGUAAAAAACAAAAGUGUUUGCUGGA